RNAcentral lists this ribosomal RNA (467 nucleotides) under uncultured bacterium. Its description in RNAcentral is "partial 16S ribosomal RNA". It matches the Rfam family "Bacterial small subunit ribosomal RNA", at positions 28 to 507 of the family's 1533-position model. The record is from RNAcentral.
GACGAACGCUGGCGGCGUGCUUAACACAUGCAAGUCGAACGAUGACGACCGAGCUUGCUCGGUCUGAUUAGUGGCGAACGGGUGAGUAACACGUGAGCAACCUGCCCUUCACUCUGGGAUAACCUCGGGAAAUCGGGGCUAAUACCGGAUAUGAGCUCCUGUCGCAUGGCGGGUGUUGGAAAGUUUUUCGGUGAAGGAUGGGCUCGCGGCCUAUCAGUUUGUUGGUGAGGUAGUGGCUCACCAAGGCGAUGACGGGUAGCCGGCCUGAGAGGGCGACCGGCCACACUGGGACUGAGACACGGCCCAGACUCCUACGGGAGGCAGCAGUGGGGAAUAUUGCACAAUGGGCGAAAGCCUGAUGCAGCGACGCCGCGUGAGGGAUGACGGCCUUCGGGUUGUAAACCUCUUUCAGCAGGGAAAAAGCGAAAGUGACGGUACCUGCAGAAGAAGCGCCGGCUAACUACGUG